CGAAGGCCCCGAGCGUUAUCCGGAUUUAUUGGGCGUAAAGAGUGCGCAGGAGGUUCUGCAAGUCUCGCGUUAAAGCCCACAGCCUAACUGUGGAAGCGCGCGGGAUACUGCAAAACUAGAGGAUGUUAGAGGUUACUAGAACUCACGGUGUAGGGGUGAAAUCCGUUGAUAUCGUGGGGAAUACCAAAGGCGAAGGCAUGUAACUGGAACAUUCCUGACUCUCAUGCACGAAAGCGUGGGGAGCAAAAAGGAUUAGAUACCCUUGUAGUCCACGCCCUAAACGAUGCCGACUAGCUGUUUCGAGUAUCGACCCUCGGAGUGGCGUAGCUAACGCGUUAAGUCGGCCGCCUGGGAAGUACGAUCGCAAGAUUA
RNAcentral lists this ribosomal RNA (372 nucleotides) under uncultured organism. RNAcentral describes it as "bacterial SSU rRNA". It matches the Rfam family "Bacterial small subunit ribosomal RNA", at positions 526 to 896 of the family's 1533-position model. The record is from RNAcentral.